UUUAAUUCAACAACACUGAGAGAACUCCUUUUCUCUAUCGUUCCUUUCAAAACCCUAGCGUCGCAGACACAUUUUCUUCAAAAAAAAUUGACAUCAAACACCGAUUUCACAUCUUCAUUACAGGUAGGAUUAUGUUCUAUCAUUUACCAGUUUGUCAUCGAUAUAUCAUUUACUAGAUUUUCACUCUCAAAACCCUAAAUCUCAAUCUAAAGAAACUAAGCAUAAGGUAUGAUGUUUGUGUUCUAUGUUUAUGUGUUCAUCAUUUAUCCUGCCAUAAACCCUAAUGUAGUAACAACCGAAUAGCCCAUCAGUUAUUUUUACCGCCGCAGUCGCAAGCAUUCCGGUCAAGCUUCGCCGGAGUCGAUCGAACUCCAGUUCAAGAUCUUGCAACUACCAUUGAAGGAUUUCAUUUGUAGGAUUGGCACUAUAUGUAAGCUUUUGAUUCUUUUUAACUCUAGGGCUGCUUUUGAUUUUAGGGAUGUUGCUUUUAAUUUGUUGUAAAAAAAUUUGCCAGAAAAAGAAAUUGAUUGUAAAGAUACGUUGAACAAGUUCAUAAUCCAAAAACGGUCUGCGUUGACUUUCGUUGACAUCCAAAGUUGACCAAUUUAAAAGUAAACAGGUCAAAUACACACACCUAAUAUCACUGAUAUAUUCAAUAUAAGAUAAAUGUAACUUAACAAGAAGAAAAAUAAAUUCACAUAUAUAAAAAUAGAACAUACCAGUAACACAGUGCUGAUUCCCGACAUUCCCAAUUCAUAAAAGAAAGAAAUAACUGAAAUGCUCCUCAAAGUCGGACUAAAACAAAAAACGCUCAUGUUAGAAUCAGCUCGAAAGAACAGCAAAAGAGUAACUACCACAAUGGUGAAUCUUGAAAUCCACAUACGUGUUUAACACGAUAGUUACAGCAUAUUUCAUUGUUUUAUAACGUUCUUGUACAACCGUGAGUGCUUUAUUCAAAUAAGAUGAAUGUUGAUCCAGCUUUGGAGUUGAUUUAACCGUUUCAACGAGAAAGAACGCCAUAUAAACUGGACAGAAGAUUAACAAAGCUAUUGAAACCUGAAUCAGAAGGAAUUAUAAUAAGAAAAAUUGUAAGAAAACUAAAAACUGUGUAUUAUUAAUUAUGCUAUAGAUAGUAUUAAUAUAAGUGUACUUUGAAAAUGUACUCUUCUGGAAGAAAACGUGCUAGGAGAUUUCCGACGACAUGUGAUGCAGAAACUAGGCCUGUUAUCAAACUAAAAACAGUUGCACGUUUUCUAUGAUCAACAAUAUCUGCCUGCAAACCGCAGGGACCAUCCGUGUACUUUUGGAAAUCUAAGGACCCAACUCCAAAGUUUUGAUCAACCACAGGGACUAGGGACUAUUCGUGUACUUUACUCAAAAGGCUAAUUGGGGACUUUCAAACGGUUUGAUGUGUUCCUCUUUAAAUUCUUUUUUAUUUCACCCAUUUCAAACGGGUAUGGGUAUGAGAUUACCAAUACCCGACCCGAACCCGACCCAUUGCCAUCCCUUUCCUGUGCGAGGAUCAUGUGGCCAAACUGUGUCCCGCCCAUUCUGCACAUUAUAAAGUCUUCAGACAAAAAUUUACAUAGCAUAACAUAAUUAAUGAUGUAACAAUAAAGAAUGGAACAUAUAGCAUAUAAAACUAGCACAUGAUUAUGAGUAAUUUCAAGGACUCCUCAAAUUUGGAUAUAUAGAUCAAUUAAUAAAACUCAAGAUCCAAAUUUAUCAACAAGUCUUAACAUAUGAUUGUAUAUAGUGUCUUUCUAGAAAAUGUACUAUAGCUGCACAAUAAUUUUUACAGCUUGACAGUCAAUUUCCUAAUAAAAUAUGACAAUUGUUUUUGAGGAGUAUAAUAAUUUCAUUUCCUGCAUACGGUAUGUAACAAGUUCAUUUAUUGCUAACAGUAAUUGACUCACUACCCUUUUCCAUAAAAGCACAUUCAUGAUCUAUAUCCUUAUGUGGAUGUGGAAGUGCCUAGCUAUAGAAAUAUGGUGAAAGCACAUUCAGCUCCGCCACUGCCACUGAUGAAUGGAUGUACAAUAAUGCUAUAACCAAAAGCAACAGCAGAUACUUUUAUUAUGCUAUAGCCACGACCAGGUUUGCAGCAAUUGAAUGCAAAAAGUCUCAUAAGGUUUUGCCCAGUUGAUGCAAAAGUCUUUUCGCCUUUGUUGAUUUGUUAGCAGUAACUUGGAAACAAUGGGUGCAUGGACCAGUCAAAUUGAGCAAAGAAAAGUUGCUAAGGUUGGAGACUAAUCAUCGAAAAAAAUCAUGUUAUCAGUUAUUUACCGUUAACAGUAAUAUAUCACUCUGUUUGUAUUUAUUUUAUUUAUAAACUUAUAAUUAAUGUAAAUCAAAAUUUCCUACCCGGGAAGUUCCCGGGUGAUAACCUAGUUAAUGAUAUAUGUAAGUUUACUAAUA
Long non-coding RNA from Helianthus annuus (common sunflower), 2418 nucleotides. RefSeq lists it as uncharacterized. The transcript has 5 exons. NCBI's taxonomy places the organism in Eukaryota, Viridiplantae, Streptophyta, Magnoliopsida, Asterales, Asteraceae. The record is from RefSeq and is a predicted model, not a curated record.